RNAcentral lists this ribosomal RNA (841 nucleotides) under uncultured bacterium. RNAcentral's name for it is "bacterial SSU rRNA". It matches the Rfam family "Bacterial small subunit ribosomal RNA", at positions 1 to 815 of the family's 1533-position model. The record is from RNAcentral.
AAGGCUUAACGAAAUUCGCACUWAGAGUUUGAUCCUGGCUCAGAACGAACGCUGGCGGCGUGCUUAACACAUGCAAGUCGAACGCGAAAAUUUUCCUCGGAAAGUGAGUAGAGUGGCGCACGGGUGAGUAACGCGUAAGUUAUCUACCUCGGCAUCCGGAAUAACUCACCGAAAGGUGUGCUAAUACCGGAUACGUUGAGUAAUCAAGAAAGGUGGCCUCUGAAUAUGCUACUGUGCUGAGAUGAGCUUGCGUACCAUUAGCUAGUUGGUAGGGUAAUGGCCUACCAAGGCAACGAUGGUUAGCGGGUCUGAGAGGAUGAUCCGCCACACUGGAACUGAAACACGGACCAGACUCCUACGGGAGGCAGCAGUGAGGAAUAUUGCGCAAUGGGGGAAACCCUGACGCAGCGACGCCGCGUGGAUGAUGAAGGCCUUCGGGUCGUAAAAUCCUGUCAGGUGGAAAGAAAUGCAUGGUGGCUAAUACCUGCCAUGUUUGACGGUACCACCGAAGGAAGCACCGGCUAACUCCGUGCCAGCAGCCGCGGUAAUACGGAGGGUGCAAGCGUUGUUCGGAAUUACUGGGCGUAAAGCGCGCGUAGGCGGUUUGCUAAGUCAGAUGUGAAAGCCCAUGGCUCAACCAUGGACGUGCAUUUGAAACUGGCAGACUUGAGUAUUGGAGGGGGUGGUGGAAUUCCCGGUGUAGAGGUGAAAUUCGUAGAUAUCGGGAGGAAUACCGGUGGCGAAGGCGACCACCUGGCCAAAUACUGACGCUGAGGUGCGAAAGCGUGGGGAGCAAACAGGAUUAGAUACCCUGGUAGUCCAAGGCGAAUCGCGCCGCAAA